CAGCAGCCGCGGUAAAACGUAGGAUGCGAGCGUUAAUCGGAAUUACUGGGCGUAAAGCGUGCGCAGGCGGUUAUAUAAGACAGAUGUGAAAUCCCCGGGCUCAACCUGGGACCUGCAUUUGUGACUGUAUAGCUAGAGUACGGUAGAGGGGGAUGGAAUUCCGCGUGUAGCAGUGAAAUGCGUAGAUAUGCGGAGGAACACCGAUGGCGAAGGCAAUCCCCUGGACCUGUACUGACGCUCAUGCACGAAAGCGUGGGGAGCAAACAGGAUUAGAUACCCCCGUAGUCCCUGUCUCUUAUAC
RNAcentral lists this ribosomal RNA (301 nucleotides) under uncultured bacterium. Its description in RNAcentral is "partial 16S ribosomal RNA". It matches the Rfam family "Bacterial small subunit ribosomal RNA", at positions 509 to 807 of the family's 1533-position model. The record is from RNAcentral.